This is a long non-coding RNA of Carassius auratus (goldfish), 459 nucleotides long. RefSeq lists it as uncharacterized. NCBI's taxonomy places the organism in Eukaryota, Metazoa, Chordata, Actinopteri, Cypriniformes, Cyprinidae. The transcript is spliced from 3 exons. The record is from RefSeq and is a predicted model, not a curated record.
AGCCAGACCCUCUUGUUUGUUAUGGACAGAAGACUAUUUACAUCAUUAAAUUAAAGCCCUCCUCUGCGGCUGUCAAUCAUUCAGUAUUCAAAUAGCGCGCACCUCGUCCAUUUACAGCAGGAUGUAUGAAGGAAAACUUAUUCUGGAACAACAGUGUGUGCUGUGAGAUGAGAACAGAGACACACUGAGCUUUAACCACUAACCAUCGACCAACUGCUGACUGAUGAGAAAACAUCAUUAGCUUCUGAGAGACAAAGACAAACUGAACCACAGUGAUCUGAACUGAAGACAGCGACUGUAACACAUUUCAGUUUCAUUCAGCAACAUGAACGGUGAAAAUCAGACCUGGAUAGGUGAGCACAGUUAUUAUUUUGAUACUGGUUAUUAUUACAAUAUUACUGAUUAUCUGAUUGUUGAAACUCAAAUAUAUGAUUCUUCAGAUAUCAUAAGGAGUAUCUU